This 999-nucleotide ribosomal RNA is filed under the name uncultured bacterium. RNAcentral's name for it is "bacterial SSU rRNA". It matches the Rfam family "Bacterial small subunit ribosomal RNA", at positions 355 to 1375 of the family's 1533-position model. The record is from RNAcentral.
UGGGGAAUAUUGCACAAUGGAGGAAACUCUGAUGCAGCGAUGCCGCGUGAGGGAAGAAGGUUUUAGGAUUGUAAACCUCUGUCUUCGGGGACGAAAAAAAGACGGUACCUGAGGAGGAAGCUCCGGCUAACUACGUGCCAGCAGCCGCGGUAAUACGUAGGGAGCGAGCGUUGUCCGGAAUUACUGGGUGUAAAGGGAGCGUAGGCGGGAUCGCAAGUCAGAUGUGAAAACUAUGGGCUUAACCCAUAAACUGCAUUUGAAACUGUGGUUCUUGAGUGAAGUAGAGGUAAGCGGAAUUCCUAGUGUAGCGGUGAAAUGCGUAGAUAUUAGGAGGAACAUCAGUGGCGAAGGCGGCCUACUGGGCUUUAACUGACGCUGAGGCUCGAAAGCGUGGGUAGCAAACAGGAUUAGAUACCCUGGUAGUCCACGCUGUAAACGAUGAUUACUAGGUGUGGGGGGGUCAACCUUCCGUGCCGGAGUUAACACAAUAAGUAAUCCACCUGGGGAGUACGACCGCAAGGUUGAAACUCAAAGGAAUUGACGGGGGCCCGCACAAGCAGUGGAGUAUGUGGUUUAAUUCGAAGCAACGCGAAGAACCUUACCAGGUCUUGACAUCCAACUAACGAGAUAGAGAUAUGUUAGGUGCCCCUCGGGGAAAGUUGAGACAGGUGGUGCAUGGUUGUCGUCAGCUCGUGUCGUGAGAUGUUGGGUUAAGUCCCGCAACGAGCGCAACCCUUACCAUUAGUUGCUACGCAAGAGCACUCUAAUGGGACUGCCGUUGACAAAACGGAGGAAGGUGGGGAUGACGUCAAAUCAUCAUGCCCCUUAUGACCUGGGCCACACACGUACUACAAUGGCUAUUAACAGAGGGAAGCAAUACCGCGAGGAGGAGCAAACCCCUAAAAAUAGUCUCAGUUCGGAUUGCAGGCUGCAACCCGCCUGCAUGAAGCCGGAAUUGCUAGUAAUCGCGGAUCAGCAUGCCGCGGUGAAUACGUUCCC